This 1343-nucleotide ribosomal RNA is filed under the name uncultured bacterium. Its description in RNAcentral is "16S ribosomal RNA". It matches the Rfam family "Bacterial small subunit ribosomal RNA", at positions 28 to 1378 of the family's 1533-position model. The record is from RNAcentral.
GACGAACGCUGGCGGCGUGCUUAACACAUGCAAGUCGAACGGAAAGGCCCUGCUUUUGUGGGGUGCUCGAGUGGCGAACGGGUGAGUAACACGUGAGUAACCUGCCCUUGACUUUGGGAUAACUUCAGGAAACUGGGGCUAAUACCGGAUAGGAGCUCCUGCUGCAUGGUGGGGGUUGGAAAGUUUCGGCGGUUGGGGAUGGACUCGCGGCUUAUCAGCUUGUUGGUGGGGUAGUGGCUUACCAAGGCUUUGACGGGUAGCCGGCCUGAGAGGGUGACCGGCCACAUUGGGACUGAGAUACGGCCCAGACUCCUACGGGAGGCAGCAGUGGGGAAUAUUGCACAAUGGGCGGAAGCCUGAUGCAGCAACGCCGCGUGCGGGAUGACGGCCUUCGGGUUGUAAACCGCUUUCGCCUGUGACGAAGCGUGAGUGACGGUAAUGGGUAAAGAAGCACCGGCUAACUACGUGCCAGCAGCCGCGGUGAUACGUAGGGUGCGAGCGUUGUCCGGAUUUAUUGGGCGUAAAGGGCUCGUAGGUGGUUGAUCGCGUCGGAAGUGUAAUCUUGGGGCUUAACCCUGAGCGUGCUUUCGAUACGGGUUGACUUGAGGAAGGUAGGGGAGAAUGGAAUUCCUGGUGGAGCGGUGGAAUGCGCAGAUAUCAGGAGGAACACCAGUGGCGAAGGCGGUUCUCUGGGCCUUUCCUGACGCUGAGGAGCGAAAGCGUGGGGAGCGAACAGGCUUAGAUACCCUGGUAGUCCACGCUGUAAACGGUGGGUACUAGGUGUGGGGUCCAUUCCACGGGUUCCGUGCCGUAGCUAACGCUUUAAGUACCCCGCCUGGGGAGUACGGCCGCAAGGCUAAAACUCAAAGGAAUUGACGGGGCCCCGCACAAGCGGCGGAGCAUGCGGAUUAAUUCGAUGCAACGCGUAGAACCUUACCUGGGUUUGACAUGGAUCGGGAGCGCUCAGAGAUGGGUGUGCCUCUUUUGGGGUCGGUUCACAGGUGGUGCAUGGCUGCCGUCAGCUCGUGUCGUGAGAUGUUGGGUUAAGUCCCGCAACGAGCGCAACCCUUGUUCACUGUUGCCAGCACGUUAUGGUGGGGACUCAGUGGAGACCGCCGGGGUCAACUCGGAGGAAGGUGGGGAUGACGUCAAGUCAUCAUGCCCCUUAUGUCCAGGGCUUCACGCAUGCUACAAUGGCUGGUACAGAGAGUGGCGAGCCUGUGAGGGUGAGCGAAUCUCGGAAAGCCGGUCUCAGUUCGGAUUGGGGUCUGCAACUCGACCUCAUGAAGUCGGAGUCGCUAGUAAUCGCAGAUCAGCAACGCUGCGGUGAGUACGUUCCCGGG